UACGGAGGAUGCGAGCGUUAUCCGGAUUUAUUGGGUUUAAAGGGUGCGUAGGUUGUUUUUUAAGUCAGCGGUGAAAGUUUGUGGCUCAACCAUAAAAUUGCCGUUGAAACUGGCGGCCUCGAGUGGGCGAGAAGUAUGCGGAAUGCGUGGUGUAGCGGUGAAAUGCAUAGAUAUCACGCAGAACUCCGAUUGCGAAGGCAGCAUACCGGCGCCCAACUGACGCUGAGGCACGAAAGCGUGGGUAUCGAACAGG
This 253-nucleotide ribosomal RNA is filed under the name uncultured Bacteroidales bacterium. Its description in RNAcentral is "partial 16S ribosomal RNA". It matches the Rfam family "Bacterial small subunit ribosomal RNA", at positions 524 to 776 of the family's 1533-position model. Lineage: Bacteria; Pseudomonadati; Bacteroidota; Bacteroidia; Bacteroidales. The record is from RNAcentral.